Molecule: unclassified non-coding RNA, 20 nt
Filed under: Chlamydomonas reinhardtii
Lineage: Eukaryota; Viridiplantae; Chlorophyta; Chlorophyceae; Chlamydomonadales; Chlamydomonadaceae
Description: small RNA Cre_0308
Source: RNAcentral
ACGCAGGAGGUGGGUAGUGU